RNAcentral lists this long non-coding RNA (1667 nucleotides) under Nicotiana tabacum (common tobacco). Its description in RNAcentral is "long non-coding RNA (NTAB_LNC016742)". Lineage: Eukaryota; Viridiplantae; Streptophyta; Magnoliopsida; Solanales; Solanaceae. The record is from RNAcentral.
AAUUAUAGACUAAUAGUAUAAUGAGAAUUGGUCUCAAAUUCUCUGUCCAGCAUUAUUAAAAGAACACAAAUUUCUUUUCAUUUUCAUCCUCGAAGUUCAAUGACCAGUUUCAAACAGAUUGAAGUUCAAAUUGAAGAACCAAACUCACAAAAAAUGGUAUGUUCCACAAGAGAAGAUGUUUUUGUAACUUUCAUGAACAAGGCGAAUUCGACAACUCACUGUAUGAAGCUCCAAUCAAUGCACAAUUGAUUGGUCUCAAACAGAGACAGUUUAUCUAUUGAGAGCAGAAAUACCAAAUACGAGGCUUUCAGAGACAAGGGCAUUGCGGAGUACGAAAUUACACGGGUUGAGGUAAGUAACAGUCAUAAAUCGGGUCUUGAGGGUAUGAAACCCCAAUUUUUUUGGUGUCAUGUGAUUGUUUUGGAGGUGACGCACAUGUUAGGUGACGGGCGUGUGGGCGUGCACCGAGAAAAUUGUGAGUUGGUCCGUCCCGUAAAACUGUAAAGUUGAAUAACUUGUUGUUAACUAUAUGCUCUCUAUGUGUUGUAGAAAUUUGACUGUAAAUCAUAUUAGAAAUCAUGUUUAGAUUAUGUGUUGGUAUUGUAGGGACCCACAAAGGUUGUGUACAUGUUGAAUUAUCUGCUAAAUUAUUGUUUUGUACUCAGUCACAAUUUACUUGUUAUUUUAUCUCAAUCUUUAUUGUUCAUUAUUAAUGCAUCAUAUCAUUGUUGUUUGGACUGAUUUUAUGAUUUUUGAGAGCCCGAGAGACUGGAGAGAUUUGUGACUGAGUGAGGCCGAUGGCCUAAUUGUGAGAUAUUAUACUCUAGCACGUGAGUUGUCCGUGCAACACGUGAUUUGUCCGUGCGAAUCCAGAUAUUAUACUAUAGCACGUGAGUUGUCCGUGCAGAUCUAGAUAUUUAUACUAUAUCACGUGAGUUGUCCGUGCGGAUUAUAGCGCUUGAGCUGUAGGAGCCCCUCCGGAGUCUGUACACCCCCAGUGAGCGCAGGUACCCAUUGAGUGUGAGUGUUGAGGGUUGAGAGCCGAGUGGUUGAGCUGUUGUGACGAGUUGAGUGACUGUUGCCCUGAGAGGAUGUACUUGUUUAUCAUUUGGUGAUGCACUUAGUUGCUAUCUAUCAUUGUUGUGAGAUUUCUGAAAGAUUCUAUAUCCGGAGUACCUGCACUUUAACUGUAUAAAAUUGAUUUGACUUAAAUUGCCGGAUUUGAAAGUAUAUCUAUUCUUUGCUGGAAUUAUUAAAAAUGAACUGUAUUUGUAUAGCUCGUCACUAGCUUCUCAGUUCCUUAUUUAUUAUUGUUACUUACUGAGUUGAUUGUACUCAUACUACACCCUGCACUUCGUGUGCAGAUCCAGGUAUUCCCGAACAUAGCGGGUGUUGAUUUUUUCGCACAGUUGACUUUUCGGAGAUUCAAAGGUAGCUGUCGUAUUUUGCAGACCUUGCCUCUCCUUCCCUAUCUCCGUGUUUACUGUAUUUAGUCUCAGACUAUUAUAGACCGUAUUUUCCAGACUUGUAUUCAUAUUAGAUGCUCAUGUACUCAAUGAUACCGGAUUUUGGGAGUAAUUAUAUUUGUACUUGUGAGAUUUUCUUCCGCUUAAAUUAAUCAUUAUGUUUUCGUAUUUAAAAGAUAUGUGGUUUAUUGAGAUUGUCGG